AGAGUUUGAUCCUGGCUCAGGAACGAACGCUGGCGGCGUGCUUUACCCAUGCAAGUCGGACGGGGGGAGUAAUCCCCAGUGGCAGACGGCUGAGUAACACGUGAGUGACCUGCCCAGAGGUGGGGGAUAGCCAUCCGAAAGGAUGGGUAAUACCGCGUAAGCUCGUUUGGAUAGAGCCAGACGAGGAAAGCAGCAAUGCGCCUUUGGAGGGGCUCGCGGCCCAUCAGGUAGUUGGCGGGGUAACGGCCCACCAAGCUGAUGACGGGUAGCUGGUCUGAGAGGAUGAUCAGCCAGACUGGGACUGAGAGACGGCCCAGACUCCUACGGGGGGCAGCAGGGGGGAAUCUUGGACAAUGGGCGAAAGCCUGAUCCAGCGACGCCGCGUGGAGGACGAAGGUCUUCGGAUCGUAAACUCCUUUUGACAGGGAAGAUGAUGACGGUACCUGUCGAAUAAGCCCCGGCUAACUACGUGCCAGCAGCCGCGGUAAUACGUAGGGGGCGAGCGUUGUCCGGAUUUACUGGGCGUAAAGAGCGCGUAGGCGGCUCGUUAAGUUGGCUGUGAAAUCUCCUGGCCCAACUGGGAGCGGUCAGCCGAGACUGGCGGGCUUGAGGGCGGUAGAGGAAGGUGGAAUUCCGGGUGUAGUGGUGAAAUGCGUAGAGAUCCGGAGGAACACCAGUGGCGAAGGCGGCCUUCUGGGCCGUACCUGACGCUGAGGCGCGAAAGCGUGGGGAGCGAACUGGAUUAGAUACCCAGGUAGUCCACGCCCUAAACUAUGGACGCUAGGUGUCGGGGGUAUCGACCCCCCCGGUGCCGAAGCCAACGCAUUAAGCGUCCCGCCUGGGGAGUACGGCCGCAAGGCUAAAACUCAAAGGAAUUGACGG
RNAcentral lists this ribosomal RNA (882 nucleotides) under uncultured bacterium. RNAcentral's name for it is "bacterial SSU rRNA". It matches the Rfam family "Bacterial small subunit ribosomal RNA", at positions 8 to 916 of the family's 1533-position model. The record is from RNAcentral.